CCAAAGCUACUUCCGGUGAAAGGCCGCGUUGGUUUAUUGUCCAGGUUUCCAGACUGGAGCAUCCAUUUGUGGGGAAGCAGCGUGGAGGCCUGGGUUGAGUCUUGCAUUCUAAACGCGGCCUGGAACUAAUAGAAGCUCCUGGCCACGGAUGUGAACAACUGUGAAGGCGAUGGUUUUUGCCCAGGGAAAGGAUGUGGGCCCGGGGCCAAGGCCUGUGAAUUGAGAUCGUGAGAUCUCUGAAAGGCUGUCCAUGCUCUGACUGCAUUUUCCAAUGUCCAUCAUAGCCGAAGCAGCUUCCUGUCCGCACACUGGCCCUUUGAGGACCAUAGGAAGGCUUGCGCCCGAGUCCCUGCGGAACAUUUUUGAAGGGACCGCAGGGUCAGCUCUGCUUUCUCAAGACUGUGCUUCACCAGGAGAGGAAUCUAGAAGACUGAUUGAGUCUUAGAAUUUUAAGUCAUGGCCCAUCAGUUGAUGAUGUUCAGGGAUAUAGCUGUAGACUUCUCUCAAGAGGAGUGGGAGUGCCUGGACUUGGAACAGAGACAUUUGUACAGAGAUGUGAUGUUGGAGAACUACAGCAACAUGAUCUCACUGGGACUUUGCAUUUAUCAGCCAGAUGUAUUCUCUUUACUGGAGAAGGGAAAAGAGCCCUGGAUAUUUUUACAGGAUGAGACAAGAGGACAUUGCCCAGACAUGCCAUUCAGAUGUCAAACCAAGGAGUUAUCACAAAAAAGUGUUACUUUUGAGAGAGAAUUAUCUCAAUUGGAAAUCUGUAAAAAACACAACCUUGAAUAUUCAUGUUUUAGGGCUGAUUGGGAAAGCAAAGGUCAGUUUGAAACACAACAGGAAAAUCAGGAAGAAUGUUUAAAGCAAGUUAUACUCACCGAUGAAAAAAUGUCCACUUUUAACCAUCACACAGCUCACAGACUUGAUACAGGAAAGAAACUGAAUGAAUUUAAAGAGUGUGCGAAAGCCUUUUGUUCUGGCUCGGACUGUGAUCAACAUCAAUUAAUUCACACUGGUGAGAGAUUUUGUGAAGAUAAAGAAUAUGAGAAGACCUUUCUUUCUGAUUCAGAACUUACUCAAUAUCAGACAGUACACUCUGCCAAGAAAACAUAUGAAUGUAAAGAAUGUGGGAAGGCUUUUAGUUUGCGUUCAAGUCUUACUGGUCACAGGAGGAUUCAUACUGGUGAAAAACCUUUUAAAUGUAAGGAAUGUGGGAAGUCCUUUAGAUUUCAUUCACAACUUAGUGUUCAUAAGCGUAUUCAUACUGGUGAGAAAUCUUAUGAAUGUAAACAAUGUGGGAAAGCCUUUAGUUGUGGCUCAGAUCUUACACGACAUCAGAGAAUUCAUACCGGUGAAAAACCUUAUGAAUGUAAUGAAUGUAGAAAGGCCUUUAGUCAGCGAUCACAUCUUACUAAACAUCAGAGAAUUCACACUGGUGAAAAACCUUAUGAAUGUAAGCAGUGUGGAAAAGCGUUUACUCGUGGUUCACACCUAACUCAACAUCAGAGAACUCAUACUAGUGAGAAAUCUCAUGAAUGUAAGGAAUGUGGAAAAGCCUUUAUUCGUGGUUCAAAUCUUAUUCAACAUCAGAAUGUUCAUGUUGGUAGGAAACCCUAUGAAUGUGAGAAAUGUGGAAAAGCCUAUAUCUGGAGUUCACACCUUGCUAGACAUCAACGAAUUCAUAAUGGUAGGAAACCUUAUGAAUGUAAGCAAUGUGGGAAGACAUUUAUUUGGGCCUCCUAUCUUGCUCAACAUGAGAAAAUUCAUAAUGAGAGGAAACUCUAUGAAUGUAAGGAAUGUAGAAAGACCUUUCGUCAUGGCUCAGAGUUUAAUCGGCAUCAAAAAAUUCAUACUGGUGAAAGAAACUAUGAAUGUAAACAAUGUGGAAAGACCUUUUUUCGUGGUUCAGAACUUAAUCGACAUCAGAAAAUCCACACUGGAAAGAGACCAUAUGAAUGUGAAGAAUGUGGAAAAGCCUUUCUCUGGGGUUCACAACUUACUCGACAUCAGAGAAUACAUACUGGUGAGGAACCUUAUGUAUGUAAAGAAUGUGGGAAAUCUUUUAUCUGGGGUUCACAGCUUACACGACAUAAGAAAAUUCAUACUGAUACAGAAUCAUAUGAAUGUAAAGAAAGUAGCCAGAUCUUUAGUCCCCAUCCAUAUUUUACUGAACAGAAAAUUCACAAUGGUGAGAAUCUCUAUCAAUGGAAAGACUAUAGGAACACCUUUAGUCAGGACUCAGACUUUGCUCAACAUCAGGAUAUUUACACUUUUGAGAAAUCCUAUGAAUGUAAAAAUUUUGAGACAUUUUCUCCAAGCUCUCAUCUUAUUUCACUCUUGUGAGGUCUUCUAAUAUAAAAAUAUAGGAAGUCUUUAUUCAUAAUUCCUUAAUUGAUGUCAGUUAAUUCCUUCUUUUGAGGAACUCACAAGUAUAAGUAAUAUUGGAAGAACAUUUGACAGAGCACACAACACACUAAAUAGCAGAGAAUUCAUAAUGCAAUCUAUAUUAAUAUAGGAAAGCAUUUACUGAUUGGUUUUCCAUUUGGAAUAUCAGGGUAAAACCCUAUGAAAAAGAUGACACUGUGAUUCUCUUGAAUCAUUCUUAAAAGCAUUCUCCACAUCAUUGAUACUACUCUGCAUAGAAUUUAAAUCUAACUCACAUAGGGAAACCUUCCAUUCCUAUUCAAUUUUGUUACAGUUCCACAAAAUUAUACCAAAGGUGAAUUUCUGUUACGUAAUUAAUCUUGGGAAGCCUUGAGCUGUGUCAUGCAGUUUAUUUGGCAUGUCUUAGUUUCCACACCUCUUAUCUUUGUGUUUUUUGGAAAGUAACUUGAAUCUGUGUUUCCUUAUUUGAUUACAAGGGUUAAAUGAGCUUGAUGACUUCAAUGACUUAAUAGCCAUCAUUAAUAUUAGUGUUAGACAGCUUCUAUGAGAGGAAGACCUUAACAAUAUAAUAAAUGUAGACAAAUAUGCCAUUUAUAUGUGUGUCUUAUCGAACAGCAGGAUGCUAAUUCUGAAGAAAAACCAGUCAAACGGAAGGGAAGAAAGCUUUGAAUCAGUAUUAAAUUCAUUUGCUGCAUAAAAAAAUUCAUACUAUAAAGAAAGCCUUAUGGUUUUAAUGAAAGUGGAGUUGUUGAAUGCUCACCAGUGGUUUUUUUUUUUUUUUUGUUUUGUUUUUAAAGGCAUUUAGAAAUGAUUUGUCCCUAACAGAUUUCUAAAGCCAAAUGUCAUAUCCAUUUUAUCACCACAAUGACAAUUUAUUUUUUUUUAAGUUUAUUUAUUUUGAGAGAGAAAGCAUGAGCAGGGUAGGGGCAGAGAGAGAGAGAGAGAGAAUCUCAAGCAGGCUCCCCACUGUCAGCAAGAGCCCAAUGUGGGGCUCAAUCUCAUGAACUGUGAGAUCAUGACCUGAGCGAAAAUCAAGAGUCAGAUGCUUAACUGACUAAGCCACCCAGGUGCCCCUGAAAUUCAGAAAUUAGAAAAUAGCCAAAUGAAUUCUGAUCUCUUGGAAAUUUAACACUACAUUUAUAAAUUAUCAAAGUAAUGAGCAAAUCAAAAGUGAAAUUACAGGCUUAUUUAGAUGUGAAUGAUAACAAAACUCCUAUAUGUCAAAUCCUAUGAACAUGACCAUGGCAGCUCUCGAUGGAAAUUACUCUUAUGUAUAUAACAAAGAAAAUUGAGGGAAAUUUACUUCUUGUCACCACUGUAUUUCCAGCACUUAUAACAGUGCCUGUCAUAUUGUAGAGUCCAAGUAUUUGUCAAAUUAAAUAAUGAUUACUUAACAAGCUAAAGUAAGAGCUGAUGCCCCAAUGGGCAUUUGAAUUGAUAGAAAUGUGUUUUUUUCUUAAUUUUUUUAAUGUUUAUUUAUUUUGAGAGAGUGUGUGUGAGCAGGGGAGGGACAGAGAGAGUAGGAGAGAGAAAGAAUCCCGAGCAGUCUCUGCACUGCCAGAGCAGAGCCUAAGGUGGGGCUUAAACUCACAAACCAUGAGAUCAUGUCCUGAGCCAAGAUCAAGAGUCAGAUGUUUAACCGACUGAGCCACCCAGGUGCCUCUGAAUUGAUGGAAAGCUUUAUUUAACGAAAAUAAAGAAAAAUUCAUGGAAUAAAUAACAAUACAGAAGGUUUUUUAUUUUAAGUCAAAACGUUUCUUGGUAGCAAUGCCUUAACAUUAUCAUAAGAAAGGAGAAAUGUGGUACAUGUUUUAGAGGGUAUUUUUAAUGACAAUAUGAAGAGAUAUAAACCUUACUAGAAACAAAUUUUAAAUAGAAUAUAGUUUGUUUUCUAGGAAAAUAAAUUAUUAAAUUUCAAGAGUAACUAAAAGGGGCCAAAAAAUUUAAGUUAGAAAAAAUAAUCUUUAUAACUCAUGUAGGAGUACAGGCUGCUCCCUGAAGAAACAAAAUCCUAUGGAAAAAUUGCUAGCAGAUGCUAAAAGACUAACGUAAUUCUGAUAACAAAAUUAGAUGUGGAGUAGCCCUUGAACGACAAAUUCCAGAAGAAUUUUACUCAUGAACAUACAUGACAAAAACUAAUACAGGGGCACCUGGGUGGCUCAGUCAGUUAAGCAUCUGUCUUUGGCUCAGGUCAUGAUCUCACAGUUCAGAAGUUCAAGCCCCAUAUCAAGCUCUGUGCAGAAAGUGCGAUGCCUGUUUGGGAUUCUCUUCUCCCUGUCUUUCUGCCUCUCCCCCACUUGUGCUCACUCCCUCUUUCUCUCUAAAAACAAAAACAAAAAACUAAUACAAUAGUCAAAUGAUGUUUACCCAGAAUGUUUAAACUCUGACCUGGAUAGGUGAUAAUUCUGUAGUUUAUGCAUAACAGCAAGGUGUAUCGUUGAUGAAGAUGUACUUUACCAGUUCAGCACUUAAUUUAUUCUAAGAGUAUUUUCUUCAUACCUUUUAGUAUUACAUAAGUCAAAGAAUAUUGAGUUUAUGUACAUGUAUGUAGCACAUAAUUCAGUUCUUUAACAGUAGUUAAACAGUAUUAGGGAACAUACUUCCCUCUGAAAUUAUUGUCUUCUGUGGAAUUUCUCAACUCGUGGGGAAAGUGAAAUUUUUUUGUUAUAUUACUUUAUUGUAAUAAACCAGCCAUUUUCAUUCAUGCUGACUAUUUUUGUUAAGGUGAUGAUUACAUUGAGAAAUGUAACAGCUUUCUGGACGUCCAUAUACAGAUAACUAUGGCCAUUCCUUUUUCUUUUGGCCUAGACUUCUGUGUUGAGUUUAGUAUCAGUGUGCAUAUCUGGUGCUCUUGUCUCCUUCAUUGUGAAUUCCUGGAUCUCCUUGAAUGCCUGAGGGAGUGAUCUUCAGAGUAUCUUAAAUGAAAAAGAGGUAGGUGCAGAAUAUGUUUAUUAUACUAAUAUUUGUGAAAGAAGAGGGGGAUACUAUAUAUACCUGUACUUUAAAAAAGAAAUCUCGGGGCGCCUGGGUGGCUCAGUAGAUUAAGUGUCCGACUUCAGCUCAGGUCAUGAUCUCAUGGUUCAUGAGUUUGAGCCCCACAUCAGACUCUGUGCUGACAGCUCAAAGCCUGGAGCCUGCUUCAGAUUCUGUGUCCCUCUCUCUUUGCCCCUUCCCUGUUCACACUCUGUCUCUGUCUCUCAAAAAUAAAUAAACAUUGAGGAAAAAAAAAAAAAAGGAAUCUCAAGAUGAAACAACAGGGGAGGGCAAGGGUGAAAGGUUUAUCUUUGGUUAUACCUUCUUUUUGUUUUGACUUUGGAUCCAUGUAGAUAUUUUACAUAUCAGCUUUUAUUUUAAAAAUUAAGUCAAAAAGGAAAAUAAACCUGUAUCAAAACCAGUGGAUUUGAUUCUACAUCAUGUUCUGAUAUAACAACAUAAAGAAUAAUAAUUUCAAACGGUGUUAAAAUAUUUUGACUUACCAUUAGGAGAAUAUGUCAAAGAUAAUUCUGUAUCUCAAGCACAAAGAGAAAUAUGAAGAAAUCUAAACUGCCUUUAUUAGUCUUUUGUUAGUGGUAAUAUUGGUAUUAUUUUUCUACCUAAGGGGUUUAUUUAUUUUUUUAAGUAGGCUCCAUGCCCUAUGUGGGGCUUGAACUCAUGAUCCUGAGAUUGAGAGUUGCAUGCUCUACCAACUUAGUCAGCCAGGCACCCCUACUAAAGGGUUUAAAAACAUUAGUGACCUAGAAGCUAUGAGUUGCCCAUGUAUCCAGACUGUAGUUUUCAAAUUCCAUUUUCUAUAAAAAGAAAAAGUUCUCCUUAGAGAAAUGGCAUAAGACAGGUCAACAGUAGAAAAUGUAUAUAUAAUUAUCAUAAAAUGUCUUAUUGUACCUAAAAGCAAUAAAGCUAUCAAAGACUACAGGAUCAUUAACCUAAAGGAACUGACCAAAGAUAGGAUCAGUUAAACAUCAGAAACUAUUGCAAUGGGUUGAAACUGUGUAGGUAAAACUGCCUAAAUUCAAAAUGAAAAAAAAAGGGGGGGGGGGUUUAUGGAGUUUGCCAGAGUACUAGCAUAUUCUGAAAUUUUGGUAAGGAACAGAACAGAAUUUUGGUAAGGAACCAAAUUUCCUUUGGUAAGGAACAGAACCAAGUAUUUAUCAUGAUUUUUCUGUACAAGCUGUAAUCAAAUAGUUGGCAAGAGGAGGUUCAGAAAUGACAGACUUAGAAAGUUACAUUUGGCAUCAUUUAAUAAAAUAAUGGAAUUGGCAACAAUUCAUAAUGGGUUAUUGGGAAUUUCAGAAGAUAACAAUAAGGUUGACAACACUUCAGUUGGCCAAUCUUAAGACUAAAUUGGAACAACAUGGUAUUAAUAUGCCUCGUGUGAUGCCAUAGGAAGUAGGAAGUACUACCUAAGUUAUAUUUCCCAACACUGAAUCUUAAUCUACUUUAACCUCCAGAUCUAAUUACCAAUUUAUAGGAAAUAAAAUGAAUUUAAAAACUUGUGAGUAGUAUGUGAAGGUCACGAAUUGGCCAAAUCAGAAUGUGGAAAAUUCUAUGGGACAAAUUGCCAAGUUUCUUCAGUAAAUGAGUGGCAUGGUAAGGAGGGAGAAAUAUGAACUGCCUUAGUUCAAAAGAGACUUAAAGGUAACAUCAACCAGAUUCAGAGUGUGGAACAUUCUUGAGUCCAGACUUG
Molecule: RNA transcript, 7072 nt
Organism: Acinonyx jubatus (cheetah)
Lineage: Eukaryota; Metazoa; Chordata; Mammalia; Carnivora; Felidae
Gene: ZNF790
Gene name: zinc finger protein 790
Exons: 6
Source: RefSeq, a predicted model, not a curated record